This 498-nucleotide ribosomal RNA is filed under the name uncultured Methylotenera sp. RNAcentral's name for it is "bacterial SSU rRNA". It matches the Rfam family "Bacterial small subunit ribosomal RNA", at positions 521 to 1019 of the family's 1533-position model. The record is from RNAcentral. Lineage: Bacteria; Pseudomonadati; Pseudomonadota; Betaproteobacteria; Nitrosomonadales; Methylophilaceae.
UAAUACGUAGGGUGCGAGCGUUAAUCGGAAUUACUGGGCGUAAAGCGUGCGCAGGCGGUUCGGCAAGUCAGAUGUGAAAUCCCCGGGCUCAACCUGGGAACUGCGUUUGAAACUAUCGAGCUAGAAUAGGUCAGAGGGGGGUAGAAUUCCACGUGUAGCAGUGAAAUGCGUAGAGAUGUGGAGGAAUAUCAAUGGCGAAGGCAGCCCCCUGGGAUCAUAUUGACGCUCAUGCACGAAAGCGUGGGAGCAAACAGGAUUAGAUACCCUGGUAGUCCACGCCCUAAACGAUGUCAACUAGUUGUUGGUAGAGUAAAUCUAUGAGUAACGCAGCUAACGCGUGAAGUUGACCGCCUGGGGAGUACGAUCGCAAGAUUAAAACUCAAAUGAAUUGACGGGGGCCCGCACAAGCGGUGGAUUAUGUGGAUUAAUUCGAUGCAACGCGAAAAACCUUACCUGGCCUUGACAUGUACGGAACUUUCCAGAGAUGGAUUGGUGCUC